Molecule: transfer RNA, 64 nt
Filed under: Tegyrius keralaensis
Lineage: Eukaryota; Metazoa; Arthropoda; Insecta; Coleoptera; Chrysomelidae
Description: tRNA-Gly
Source: RNAcentral
AUUUAAAUAAUAUAAUAAAUUAUAUUUAACUUCCAAUUAAAAAAUCUAUCCAAUAGUUUAAAUA